AAGAAUAUAGCUUAGUUGGUCAAGUGCUUGCCUAGCAUGCAUAAAGCCUUAGGUUCGAUUCCUAGUACUGUAA
Non-coding RNA from Mesocricetus auratus (golden hamster), 73 nucleotides. NCBI's taxonomy places the organism in Eukaryota, Metazoa, Chordata, Mammalia, Rodentia, Cricetidae. The record is from Rfam.